CCCUUGUGGAGGAGGACGCCGAAGGUGGGGCUAAUGACUGGGGUGAAGUCGUAACAAGGUAGCCGUACCGGAAGGUGCGGCUGGAUCACCUCCUAACAGGGAGACAACAAAAUGUUAAAUAUUAAUUUUGUCACCUUAGGUCGAUCGGUAUCUCACAUUCUUAAUUUAUUUAAGAAUUUUAUUUCCUAAGUUUUUUCUAGGUCACACCCAUUAUUUUUCCUGGGCCAUUAGCUCAGGUGGUUAGAGCGCACCCCUGAUAAGGGUGAGGUCCCUGGUUCAAGUCCAGGAUGGCCCAUAUCUCUAUGUUGGGGGUAUAGCUCAGUUGGUAGAGCGCCUGCUUUGCAAGCAGGAUGUCAGCGGUUCGAGUCCGCUUACCUCCACUGAUUACCACCUCUUCCAUAAUUUAUAGAAGGGAAAUUUUUGAGUUGUGAUCAAAUUCUGAACGAAUCUAGCUUCCUAAUAAUCUUAUUAAGAUGCUGGACUCAUUGAAUUAUUUUUCAUUGUUUUCAGAGAACCUUGACAACUGCAUAGAUUAUUUUUAAAGACAAUAAGCAUCUUUAUUGAUGCAGAUUUAUUAUUUGUGCGAAUGCAUUAAAUAACAAUUCUAUUAAGCUGAUGCUUCAAAUUUUUGAAGUUAUUGGUCAAGCUACAAAGGGCUCACGGAGGAUACCUAGGCAC
Molecule: unclassified non-coding RNA, 678 nt
Filed under: uncultured Prochlorococcus sp.
Lineage: Bacteria; Bacillati; Cyanobacteriota; Cyanophyceae; Synechococcales; Prochlorococcaceae
Description: partial may contain 16S ribosomal RNA, 16S-23S ribosomal RNA intergenic spacer, and 23S ribosomal RNA
Rfam family: Bacterial small subunit ribosomal RNA (bases 1-96)
Source: RNAcentral